GUUAAUUUGGCAGAUUAGUGCGUUAGAUUUAGAAUCUUUUUAAAUAAUUAUUUAUUAUAGUUAAUA
Molecule: transfer RNA, 66 nt
Filed under: Coraebus cavifrons
Lineage: Eukaryota; Metazoa; Arthropoda; Insecta; Coleoptera; Buprestidae
Description: tRNA-Leu
Source: RNAcentral